This 57-nucleotide microRNA precursor is filed under the name Gekko japonicus. RNAcentral describes it as "Gja-Mir-190-P1_pre stem-loop". The stretch from base 5 to 52 matches the Rfam family "mir-190 microRNA precursor family", at positions 14 to 64 of the family's 78-position model. The record is from RNAcentral. Lineage: Eukaryota; Metazoa; Chordata; Lepidosauria; Squamata; Gekkonidae.
UGAUAUGUUUGAUAUAUUAGGUUGUUAUUUAGGCCAACUAUAUAUCAAACAUUCCUA